This 1292-nucleotide long non-coding RNA is filed under the name Nicotiana tabacum (common tobacco). RNAcentral's name for it is "long non-coding RNA (NTAB_LNC016465)". Lineage: Eukaryota; Viridiplantae; Streptophyta; Magnoliopsida; Solanales; Solanaceae. The record is from RNAcentral.
AAUGUGUGAGGAAAAAAUAUCCAAAAGAUGUAUAUACAUACACGUGCAAAAUACGUAGGGCGAGCCGACAAGGCUAUUAUAGACAACUAUAUAUCCAAAACCGGAAGCCGACAAGGCCACAUAUUACCCAACUAUACAUGACUAUCUACAAACCUUUAACAGAAUAUACAACUGUACAAGGACGAGACCGGGCCCCGUCAUACCCAUAUAUGUAUAUAAACAUAUCAUACCAAAAUCCAAAGAAGCUCCGGAUCAAAUGGAGCACACUAACUCUCGCUGAUCAAGGAUCCUAAGAAGGGGGACCGUCAACUUGUCUACCUGCACCUGCGGGCAUAAAACGUAGGCCCCAAAAAAUAGGACGUCAGUACAAAUAAUGUACUGAGUAUGUAAGGCAUGAAAAUCAGUACAUAAAAGACAUAGAUGAAACAUGAAUUAAAGAAUUCUGCAUGUAAAUCUAAAUACCUUUGAAAAUCCUGAAACAUUUAUAAUGUCAUGCACGUGCAUAUAAAUAUCGUGUCAUGCAUAAGUAUAGGUGUACAUAACAUCAUCAAGCCUUUGAGGGCAUCCCAUCAUAUUAUCUCGUCUACGGUAGGCAAAAUCAUCAACAUAUACUAGCUGAUCAGGUGGUGGUACGUAUAUAACGCCGUAACCUUUUUCCAUAUCCCAUAUACACAGAAUAUACGAGUAUAUAACGACAUCUGGUCAUGGGUCAAUGUACAUGUAUAAAUGAAUGGAAUGCAUAAGAAAUACAUUAAUAAGAUUUUCUUGAAAUGUUAUAAGAUUAUUAUACCUUUCGGAUAACUUUAUCAACUACGGAUUUUUCUGAGACCCAUGAACAAAAAAUAUAAUAAUAAUUCACAUGGAAAAUCAAGAACGUAGGCAUCCUUAGUAAUUUUAUGAAUAGAGUCGUUUAUGAAAGUUGUGCAUUUUCUCGUUUCGUUUGUAUCGUAUAGAUCAUGCCAAAAAGAAAGAAGGGGUAGCCUUAACAUACCUGACCCGGUUCUCUAGACAAUUCUUCUAAUACACGAAAAUUGCAACAAAACUCAUGACAGCAAGAUCGGAGUAGGGAAAAAUUCAUAUGAUAUUCUUGAGAAAGAUUAUACCGGGCUUCUUUAGAAUUGCAAAAAAAGUCACGUUGCUACGAUGCUUAAGAAAUUUUUGCUUGAAAUCUUGAAUUCUUGCUGAAGCUAAAUGUCACGUUAUUAAGGAUGCUAAUAUGCAAAUUCUUGUUUUGAAUUUGCUGAAGUGAAUUAGAGAUGUUAAAGAGAUAUCCACGUAUCUUUAACUGAAUU